This 84-nucleotide transfer RNA is filed under the name bacterium. RNAcentral describes it as "tRNA-Leu". It matches the Rfam family "tRNA". From Rfam's summary of the family: Transfer RNA (tRNA) molecules are approximately 80 nucleotides in length. Their secondary structure includes four short double-helical elements and three loops (D, anti-codon, and T loops). The record is from RNAcentral.
GGGCGAGUGGUGAAAUUGGCAGACACGCAGCGUUCAGGGCGCUGUGGCCGUAAGGUCGUGCGGGUUCAACUCCCGCCUCGCCCA